Molecule: ribosomal RNA, 274 nt
Filed under: uncultured bacterium
Lineage: Bacteria
Description: partial 16S ribosomal RNA
Rfam family: Bacterial small subunit ribosomal RNA
Source: RNAcentral
AUACGGAGGGUGCAAGCGUUACUCGGAAUCACUGGGCGUAAAGCGCGCGCAGGCGGGCUGAUAAGUUGGAUGUGAAAGCCUACGGCUCAACCGUAGAACUGCAUCCAAAACUGUCAAGCUAGAGUCUGGGAGGGGAAGAUGGAAUUAGUUGUGUAGGGGUAAAAUCCGUAGAGAUAACUAGGAAUACCAAAAGCGAAGGCGAUCUUCUGGAACAGUACUGACGCUGAGGCGCGAAAGCGUGGGGAGCAAACAGGAUUAGAAACCCCGGUAGUCC